Molecule: ribosomal RNA, 700 nt
Filed under: Russula sp. 3A5
Lineage: Eukaryota; Fungi; Basidiomycota; Agaricomycetes; Russulales; Russulaceae
Description: eukaryotic LSU rRNA
Rfam family: Eukaryotic large subunit ribosomal RNA (bases 75-700)
Source: RNAcentral
CGUCUCUUUUGACGACGAUGGUGUUCCGGUCACCGCCGAUUCUUCGGUGGGAGGCUUGACCCACAAAACGACCUUGACCUCAAAUCGGGUGAGACUACCCGCUGAACUUAAGCAUAUCAAUAAGCGGAGGAAAAGAAACUAACAAGGAUUCCCCUAGUAACUGCGAGUGAAGCGGGAAAAGCUCAAAUUUAAAAUCGGAUGGCCUUGGCCCUUCGAGUUGUAAUUUAGAGAAGCGUAUUCCGCGCUGGACCGUGCACAAGUCUCCUGGAAUGGAGCGUCAUAGAGGGUGAGAAUCCCGUCUUUGGCACGGACGCACCAGGGCUUUUGUGAUGCGCUCUCGAAGAGUCGAGUUGUUUGGGAAUGCAGCUCAAAAUGGGUGGUGAACUCCAUCUAAAGCUAAAUAUUGGCGAGAGACCGAUAGCGAACAAGUACCGUGAGGGAAAGAUGAAAAGCACUUUGGAAAGAGAGUGAAACCGUACGUGAAAUUGUUGAAAGGGAAACGCUUGAAGUCCGUCGCGUCGACCGAGACUCAGCCUCGCCUCGGCUUGGUGUACUUUUCGGUUGACGGGUCAGCAUCAAUUUUGCCCCUUGGAUAAUGGCGAGGGAAAUGUGACACCUUUGCGGGUGUGUUAUAGUCUCUUGUCGCAUGCAAGGGUCGGGAUUGAGGAACUCAGCACGCGCCUUUUGGGCGUCGGGGCUU